This 1013-nucleotide long non-coding RNA is filed under the name Macaca mulatta (Rhesus monkey). RNAcentral describes it as "lncRNA (ENSMMUG00000048819.2)". The record is from RNAcentral. Lineage: Eukaryota; Metazoa; Chordata; Mammalia; Primates; Cercopithecidae.
GUUCCUGCUUGGCUGUCGAGGUGGAUACUAGUUAGUAAGCCGCCCUGGAUUACACUAGCAUUUUCACUGGAGUGUUCCACGUCAUUCUCUGAAGAAAACAUGAGAUCAGGGGAAGAUUCUCCAGCAGUACUGUUGGGUAGAUUAUUUUGAGCAAGAGACUCUUUGGGGUCUUUCCAGACACUCAGAAUGAGGUUGCUGAGUCCAGUCACGUCUGCCUGGGCACGUCCUUAGGUUUCAAGCAUUGGCGUCUGCCAUGGAGGGCUCACUAUAUGAAACUGGGGCAAAUCUGAGAAUUACGGGUUUACACCACACAAUCAGCAUCAGAAAUACCUGUGCAGAUCAGCAGUGCUGUAUCACCAAGGAGAAGAAUGAUUCCCGCAGCCGGCACACAGGUUCCGAGGAUGCGUACAGACCAGUCGGGCUGACAGACAUGAAAACAUAUCAGUGUGAUGGAGCAUAACGGAACCUACAAGAGACUAAAGGUACAUGAGGGGAUUCAGUGGGGGCUCACAGAGUGGACAUUCCCCUAUGGCAGGGGCAGGGGUCUGGAAGGUAGGAAAAGUAGGAGGGACAUGUGGGAGCCCCAGACUAUGUUUCUCCCUCCCAGAUGAGGAUGAUUGUACUAUACCUGUGCCAAGGUGGGCAUUACAUUAAAAAAAAAUUUCCACAGGUUAUUGGGGUUCAGGUGGUAUUUGGUUACAUGAGUAAGUUAUUUAGUGGUGAUUUGUGAGAUUAUGGUGCACCCAACACCUGAGCAGUAUAUGUUGCACCCUACUCAUAGUCUUUUAUCCCUCACCCUCCUCCCACCCUUCUCCCCAAGUCCCCAAAGUCCAUUGUAUCAUUCUUACGCCUUUGUGUUCUCAUAGCUCAGCUCCCACUUAUCAGUGAGAACAUAUGAUAUUUGUUUUUCCAUUCCUGAGUUACUUCACUUAAAAUAGUCUCCAAUCUCAUCCAGGUCGCUGCAAAUGCUGUUAAUUCAUUCCUUUUUAUGUCUGAGUAGUAUUCCGUUGUAU